GAUGAACGCUGGCGGCGUGCUUAACACAUGCAAGUCGAACGGAAAGGCUCCUGCUUGCCGGGGUACUCGAGUGGCGAACGGGUGAGUAACACGUGGGUGAUCUGCCCUGCACUUCGGGAUAAGCCUGGGAAACUGGGUCUAAUACCGGAUAGGACCACAUUUUGGAUGGUGUGGUGGAAAGUUUUUCGGUGUGGGAUGAGCUCGCGGCCUAUCAGCUUGUUGGUGGGGUAAUGGCCUACCAAGGCGUCGACGGGUAGCCGGCCUGAGAGGGUGUACGGCCACAUUGGGCCUGAGCGACGGCCCAGACUCCUACGGGAUGCAGCAGGGGGGAAUAUUUCACAAUGGGCGCAAGCCUGAUGCAGCGACGCCGCGUGGGGGAUGACGGCCUUCGGGUUGUAAACUCCUCUCGCUAGGGACGAAGCGUUUUUGUGACGGUACCUGGAGAAGAAGCACCGGCUAACUACGUG
This 467-nucleotide ribosomal RNA is filed under the name uncultured bacterium. RNAcentral's name for it is "partial 16S ribosomal RNA". It matches the Rfam family "Bacterial small subunit ribosomal RNA", at positions 28 to 507 of the family's 1533-position model. The record is from RNAcentral.